AAGUAGACCGCCUGGGGAGUACGGUCGCAAGAUUAAAACUCAAAGGAAUUGACGGGGACCCGCACAAGCGGUGGAUGAUGUGGAUUAAUUCGAUGCAACGCGAAAAACCUUACCUACCCUUGACAUGGUCGGAAGCCUGGAGAGAUCUGGGCGUGCUCGAAAGAGAGCCGACACACAGGUGCUGCAUGGCUGUCGUCAGCUCGUGUCGUGAGAUGUUGGGUUAAGUCCCGCAACGAGCGCAACCCUUGUCAUUAGUUGCUACGAAAGAGCACUCUAAUGAGACUGCCGGUGACAAACCG
RNAcentral lists this ribosomal RNA (299 nucleotides) under Duganella aquatilis. Its description in RNAcentral is "partial 16S ribosomal RNA". It matches the Rfam family "Bacterial small subunit ribosomal RNA", at positions 862 to 1165 of the family's 1533-position model. Lineage: Bacteria; Pseudomonadati; Pseudomonadota; Betaproteobacteria; Burkholderiales; Oxalobacteraceae. The record is from RNAcentral.